Non-coding RNA from Microcebus murinus (gray mouse lemur), 391 nucleotides. The record is from RefSeq and is a predicted model, not a curated record. NCBI's taxonomy places the organism in Eukaryota, Metazoa, Chordata, Mammalia, Primates, Cheirogaleidae.
CUUUCCCCCCCCCCCCCCCCCCCGCAGUCCGAGAGUGAAGGAAAAGGCUUUGGCUCCUUGUGACAAAUCAGCAGCCCUGCGAUGUAGGUCGUAUGCCGAUCCCCUUGUUACAGAAGAGGAAACUGAGGCUCAGAGAGGGUCAGAGACCCUAUAACUGGCGAUGGGCAGAACAAGAUGCCAAGCCACGCCUGCUUGAUUCCCAAGUUUAUCCUUUAAUCAAUUCGUCUAGAAGAUCCUGACAACAAUCCCGGGAGGAGGAAGCUGAAGCACAAGGGGUGUAAGUAAUCUGUUGCACAACUCACACGGCUGGAAGGAGCGGACUCUGACCUUCUUUCCUGUCUGCGCUCUGGGGACCACGGCGUGGCCAGUCUUGCGGUCUGGAGCGCCCCCU